Molecule: transfer RNA, 71 nt
Filed under: Cynoglossus trigrammus
Lineage: Eukaryota; Metazoa; Chordata; Actinopteri; Pleuronectiformes; Cynoglossidae
Description: tRNA-Thr
Rfam family: tRNA
About the family: Transfer RNA (tRNA) molecules are approximately 80 nucleotides in length. Their secondary structure includes four short double-helical elements and three loops (D, anti-codon, and T loops).
Source: RNAcentral
GCAUUAGUAGCUCAGAUGAGAGUAUUGGUCUUGUAAACCAGAGGUCGGAGGAGUAAACCCUCCCUAUUGCU